CCUACGGGAGGCAGCAGUGGGGAAUUUUGGACAAUGGGCGCAAGCCUGAUCCAGCCAUUCCGCGUGCAGGAUGAAGGCCCUCGGGUUGUAAACUGCUUUUGUACGGAACGAAAAGGCUCUGGUUAAUACCUGGGGCUCAUGACGGUACCGUAAGAAUAAGCACCGGCUAACUACGUGCCAGCAGCCGCGGUAAUACGUAGGGUGCAAGCGUUAAUCGGAAUUACUGGGCGUAAAGCGUGCGCAGGCGGUUAUGUAAGACAGGUGUGAAAUCCCCGGGCUUAACCUGGGAACUGCAUUUGUGACUGCAUAGCUAGAGUACGGCAGAGGGGGAUGGAAUUCCGCGUGUAGCAGUGAAAUGCGUAGAUAUGCGGAGGAACACCGAUGGCGAAGGCAAUCCCCUGGGCCUGUACUGACGCUCAUGCACGAAAGCGUGGUGAGCAAACAGGAUUAGAUACCCUGGUAGUCCACGCCCUAAACGAUGUCAACUGGUUGUUGGGUCUUCACUGACUCAGUAACGAAGCUAACGCGUGAAGUUGACCGCCUGGGGAGUACGGCCGCAAGGUUGAAACUCAAAUGAAUUGACGG
RNAcentral lists this ribosomal RNA (585 nucleotides) under uncultured bacterium. Its description in RNAcentral is "bacterial SSU rRNA". It matches the Rfam family "Bacterial small subunit ribosomal RNA", at positions 338 to 916 of the family's 1533-position model. The record is from RNAcentral.